RNAcentral lists this long non-coding RNA (355 nucleotides) under Elaeis guineensis (African oil palm). RNAcentral's name for it is "long non-coding RNA (EGUI_LNC066192)". The record is from RNAcentral. Lineage: Eukaryota; Viridiplantae; Streptophyta; Magnoliopsida; Arecales; Arecaceae.
AGGAGAAGUCAGUUUUUGAUAGGUUUCCCACGGAUUUGAUGGCUAGGGUUUGAAAAUUUAGGGAAAACCGAAAAUGAGCCGUGAGAACCAAGGAUUUGAGAAGAACGAAUCUUGGUUUGGAGGAAUUUUGAGGUUUUUGGGAGAGCAAGGAUGUGGAUUCUUGAUUAGGACGAGAGGGAGAGAAGACUUGGGAUUUGAGGCAUCCCAACUCUCUGUUCUAUUGAAAAAUGAUCAGAUGGGCUCACCUAUAAGUGACCUACCCGCAUGAAUGGGAUGUCCCAUGGGAUACCCCAUUCAGGGCUCUUUCAGGUGAUGGGGAAAAUGAUUUAAAUAAAGAAAAAAAUCAAAAGAAAAA